GUGGGUAUAGCUCAACUGGAUAGAGCACCAGGCUGUGGACCUGGGGGCUGCGGGUUCAAAUCCCGUUACCCACCCCA
RNAcentral lists this transfer RNA (77 nucleotides) under Planctomycetota bacterium. RNAcentral describes it as "Planctomycetes bacterium (groundwater metagenome) tRNA-His". It matches the Rfam family "tRNA". From Rfam's summary of the family: Transfer RNA (tRNA) molecules are approximately 80 nucleotides in length. Their secondary structure includes four short double-helical elements and three loops (D, anti-codon, and T loops). Further hydrogen bonds mediate the characteristic L-shaped molecular structure. tRNAs have two regions of fundamental functional importance: the anti-codon, which is responsible for specific mRNA codon recognition, and the 3' end, to which the tRNAs corresponding amino acid is attached (by aminoacyl-tRNA synthetases). tRNAs cope with the degeneracy of the genetic code in two manners: having more than one tRNA (with a specific anti-codon) for a particular amino acid; and 'wobble' base-pairing, i.e. permitting non-standard base-pairing at the 3rd anti-codon position. Lineage: Bacteria; Pseudomonadati; Planctomycetota. The record is from RNAcentral.